This 388-nucleotide ribosomal RNA is filed under the name Ceramium sp. RNAcentral describes it as "partial small subunit ribosomal RNA". It matches the Rfam family "Eukaryotic small subunit ribosomal RNA", at positions 582 to 975 of the family's 1831-position model. The record is from RNAcentral. Lineage: Eukaryota; Rhodophyta; Florideophyceae; Ceramiales; Ceramiaceae.
AUCCCAGCUCUGUAAGCGUAUACCAAAGUUGUUGCAGUUAAAACGCUCGUAGUCGGACGUUGGCGGGCGCCUCGAGUCGGCCUCACGGUCGAUCUUGUUGGCGACCGCCUUUGUGGAGGGGGGCUUAGGUCGGUGCUUUAUUGUCAUCCCUUUGUCGCUGCCACCGUUUACUGUGAAAAAAUUAGAGUGUUCAAAGCGGGCGUUUGCCAUGAAUACAUUAGCAUGGAAUAAUAGAAUAGGACCUGGUCCUGUUUUGUUGGUUUGUGAGUAUCAGGUAAUGAUUAAGAGGGACGGUUGGGGGCAUUUGUAUUCCGGCGUCAGAGGUGAAAUUCUUGGAUUGCCGGAAGACAAACAGCUGCGAAAGCGUCUGCCAAGGACGUUUUCAUCA